UAGGGAAUCUUCCGCAAUGGGCGAAAGCUUGACGGAGCAACGCCGCGUGAGUGAUGAAGGUCUUCGGAUCGUAAAACUCUGUUAUUAGGGAAGAACAAAUGUGUAAGUAACUAUGCACGUCUUGACGGUACCUAAUCAGAAAGCCACGGCUAACUACGUGCCAGCAGCCGCGGUAAUACGUAGGUGGCAAGCGUUAUCCGGAAUUAUUGGGCGUAAAGCGCGCGGAGGCGGUUUUUUAAGUCUGAUGUGAAAGCCCACGGCUCAACCGUGGAGGGUCAUUGGAAACUGGAAAACUUGAGUGCAGAAGAGGAAAGUGGAAUUCCAUGUGUAGCGGUGAAAUGCGCAGAGAUAUGGAGGAACACCAGUGGCGAAGGCGACUUUCUGGUCUGUAACUGACGCUGAUGUGCGAAAGCGGGGGGAUCAAACAGG
This 429-nucleotide ribosomal RNA is filed under the name Actinomycetes bacterium. RNAcentral describes it as "Actinobacteria bacterium partial 16S ribosomal RNA". It matches the Rfam family "Bacterial small subunit ribosomal RNA", at positions 355 to 776 of the family's 1533-position model. Lineage: Bacteria; Bacillati; Actinomycetota; Actinomycetes. The record is from RNAcentral.